GCAGCCGCGGUAAUACGUAGGGGGCAAGCGUUGUCCGGAAUGAUUGGGCGUAAAGGGCGCGUAGGCGGCCUGUUAAGUCUGGAGUGAAAUUCCCGCUUUUAAGGUGGGAACUGCUUUGGAUACUGAUGGGCUUGAGUGCAGGAGAGGUAAGCGGAAUUCCCGGUGUAGCGGUGAAAUGCGUAGAGAUCGGGAGGAACACCAGUGGCGAAGGCGGCUUACUGGACUGUAACUGACGCUGAGGCGCGAAAGUGUGGGGAGCAAACAGGAUUAGAUACCCC
Molecule: ribosomal RNA, 278 nt
Filed under: uncultured Christensenellaceae bacterium
Lineage: Bacteria; Bacillati; Bacillota; Clostridia; Christensenellales; Christensenellaceae
Description: partial 16S ribosomal RNA
Rfam family: Bacterial small subunit ribosomal RNA
Source: RNAcentral